RNAcentral lists this ribosomal RNA (468 nucleotides) under uncultured bacterium. RNAcentral's name for it is "partial 16S ribosomal RNA". It matches the Rfam family "Bacterial small subunit ribosomal RNA", at positions 28 to 507 of the family's 1533-position model. The record is from RNAcentral.
GACGAACGCUGGCGGCGUGCUUAACACAUGCAAGUCGAACGGAAAGGCCCUGCUUUUGUGGGGUGCUCGAGUGGCGAACGGGUGAGUAACACGUGAGUAACCUGCCCUUGACUUUGGGAUAACUUCAGGAAACUGGGGCUAAUACCGGAUAGGAGCUCCUGCUGCAUGGUGGGGGUUGGAAAGUUUCGGCGGUUGGGGAUGGACUCGCGGCUUAUCAGCUUGUUGGUGGGGUAGUGGCUUACCAAGGCUUUGACGGGUAGCCGGCCUGAGAGGGUGACCGGCCACAUUGGGACUGAGAUACGGCACAGACUGCUACGGGAGGCAGCAGUGGGGAAUAUUGCACAAUGGGCGGAAGCCUGAUGCAGCAACGCCGCGUGCGGGAUGACGGCCUUCGGGUUGUAAAACGCUUUCGCCUGUGACGAAGCGUGAGUGACGGUAAUGGGUAAAGAAGCACCGGCUAACUACGUG